RNAcentral lists this ribosomal RNA (252 nucleotides) under uncultured bacterium. RNAcentral describes it as "partial 16S ribosomal RNA". It matches the Rfam family "Bacterial small subunit ribosomal RNA", at positions 524 to 776 of the family's 1533-position model. The record is from RNAcentral.
UACGGGGGGGCAAGCGUUGUUCGGAAUUACUGGGCGUAAAGGGCUCGUAGGCGGCCAACUAAGUCAGACGUGAAAUCCCCAGGCUCAACCUGGGAACUGCGUCUGAUACUGGAUGGCUUGAAUCCGGGAGAGGGAUGCAGAAUUCCAGGUGUAGCGGUGAAAUGCGUAGAGAUCCGGAAGAACACCUGAGGCGAAGGCGGCUUGCUGGGCAUGAUCUGACGCUGAGGCGCGAAAGCGUGGGGAGCAAACAGG